GACAACACCUCCAAACCCACCCCAUCAAUAAGAACAAGUGAACAACCAACCAAAAAAACAACCCAGCUCAUGCAUUUUAUCAACAAACACCAAUUUUCAACAAUCCCAACAACAAAACCUUCAGUUUCCUUUCAAUUAAGUUUCUGGGAAAAAUUCAACAUCUAGUCUUGAUCACUUUAAUGAUUCAGUUGUUGUUGGAUCUAAUAAAAAGAAAAGAAGCUAGCUGAACAAGGAAGUCUUCUAUUGAUGGAACUCCAGUUUGGGCUAGUCUCCUACCCUAGUGGUGAAUCAUGUAGAUUCUGUUGUUGUUGGUGCUUCUGCUUCAGAAAACCCCGCCAAGAAGGCCCGCAGGAGGCCCUAGAUCUCCAAAAAGAAGCAAUAGCGACAAGCUUUUGGUGCAGUUGAAUUUGGAUCCAUGCAGUACUUAAUCCAUGUAAACAUCGGGGAGGCAUGUUGUAUCUUAUUUGAGCUUAUGAUUAUAUUAUUGGGGCCGAGGCUGUGUGCGAGGACUAGUUGGAUCUCAGGGUCAGUUUGUCAUCAUCAUGUUAUUGGGGUCAUUCAUGAUGUUAGAAAGUAAUGGGAACUGUUGCAGAACAAGUGAUCUAAGCAUGGCACUAUCCAGGCUAGAUGCUGAGCAUGACGCUGCAGCAGAAACAAUGCUUUGACAGGUUUUCUACGCUGCACUCAUUGCAAUUCCUCAGAUUGCUGAAGGUUUCUCAAAGGUACAAAUGAGUCAAGUAAAAAUAAAUUUAUCCCUAUAGUGUUUGCACCACAUGUUCUUAAAUAAGCCUUUUUAUCUAACAUGUCUUCUCACUUUCAUUUAAUCUUUAAUUUGCUCUUUAUGUUAAUUUAUUAAUUUGACAUAACACCAAGUAAGCUCUUAAAUAACUUACCUGGAAAUACAAUUGAAACACCAAUGCUGUCAAAAUUGAUUUAUAUUUUUAAAUGCUACCAAACCUAGCUCAUAUUAUAAAUGCUAUGUAAAAUUACAUCAUCCUUUAAACAAUUCCUUAACCCUAGUCGCUAACACACAACCCUUGGAAUCAGCACCCAUCUCCCUUCUUCUCCAUACUUUCCCCACUUACCCCCACCAAAAUCUACUCACUAACCACUUUUUCCUCCUCAGUCACCAUGAAACUGGUCAUAAUGCCACCAUGAGUAUUGUCUUGACCUUCUUUAGCCAUUGUUCCAUUGUGGGUCACCGUGACACCAACCAAAAGAAUUCACCAUACUAAGGUCAAAAGAUAUCCAUUGUUCUAACAUUAUUAACCUUCAUUACAUCCAUAAAAUUCCAGUAAU
This is a long non-coding RNA of Solanum dulcamara, 1299 nucleotides long. RefSeq lists it as uncharacterized. The record is from RefSeq and is a predicted model, not a curated record. NCBI's taxonomy places the organism in Eukaryota, Viridiplantae, Streptophyta, Magnoliopsida, Solanales, Solanaceae. The transcript is spliced from 4 exons.